Molecule: ribosomal RNA, 253 nt
Filed under: uncultured bacterium
Lineage: Bacteria
Description: partial 16S ribosomal RNA
Rfam family: Bacterial small subunit ribosomal RNA
Source: RNAcentral
UACGAAGGGGGCUAGCGUUGUUCGGAAUUACUGGGCGUAAAGCGCGCGUAGGCGGUGAUCUUUGUCAGAGGUGAAAGCCUGGGGCUCAACUCCAGAAUUGCCUUUGAAACGGGAUCGCUUGAGUCCGAGAGAGGAUGGCGGAAUUCCUAGUGUAGAGGUGAAAUUCGUAGAGAUCGGGAGGAACAUCUGUGGCGAAGGCGGCCACCUGGACCAACACUGACACUGAGGCACGAAAGCGUGGGGAGCAAACAGG